This 1057-nucleotide ribosomal RNA is filed under the name Microdochium sp. B13. Its description in RNAcentral is "SSU rRNA". It matches the Rfam family "Eukaryotic small subunit ribosomal RNA", at positions 70 to 1143 of the family's 1831-position model. The record is from RNAcentral. Lineage: Eukaryota; Fungi; Ascomycota; Sordariomycetes; Xylariales; Microdochiaceae.
AUUAACCAAGCCGAAAACUGCGAAUGGCUCAUUAAAUCAGUUAUCGUUUAUUUGAUAGUACCUUACUACUUGGAUAACCGUGGUAAUUCUAGAGCUAAUACAUGCUAAAAACCCCGACUCACGAAGGGGUGUAUUUAUUAGAUUAAAAACCAAUGCCCUUCGGGGCUCUCUGGUGAUUCAUAAUAACUUCUCGAAUCGCAUGGCCUUGUGCCGGCGAUGGUUCAUUCAAAUUUCUGCCCUAUCAACUUUCGAUGGCAGGGUCUUGGCCUGCCAUGGUUACAACGGGUAACGGAGGGUUAGGGCUCGACCCCGGAGAAGGAGCCUGAGAAACGGCUACUACAUCCAAGGAAGGCAGCAGGCGCGCAAAUUACCCAAUCCCGAUUCGGGGAGGUAGUGACAAUAAAUACUGAUACAGGGCUCUUUUGGGUCUUGUAAUUGGAAUGAGUACAAUUUAAAUCCCUUAACGAGGAACAAUUGGAGGGCAAGUCUGGUGCCAGCAGCCGCGGUAAUUCCAGCUCCAAUAGCGUAUAUUAAAGUUGUUGCAGUUAAAAAGCUCGUAGUUGAACCUUGGGCCUGGCUGGCCGGUCCGCCUCACCGCGUGCACUGGUUCGGCCGGGCCUUUCCCUCUGGGGAGCCUCAUGCCCUUCACUGGGUGUGUUGGGGAACCAGGACUUUUACUGUGAAAAAAUUAGAGUGUUCAAAGCAGGCCUAUGCUCGAAUACAUUAGCAUGGAAUAAUAGAAUAGGACGUGUGGUUCUAUUUUGUUGGUUUCUAGGACCGCCGUAAUGAUUAAUAGGGACAGUCGGGGGCAUUAGUAUUCAAUUGUCAGAGGUGAAAUUCUUGGAUUUAUUGAAGACUAACUACUGCGAAAGCAUUUGCCAAGGAUGUUUUCAUUAAUCAGGAACGAAAGUUAGGGGAUCGAAGACGAUCAGAUACCGUCGUAGUCUUAACCAUAAACUAUGCCGACUAGGGAUCGGACGGUGUUAUUUUUUGACCCGUUCGGCACCUUACGAGAAAUCAAAGUCUUUUGGGUUCUGGGGGGGAGUUUUUGAAACGC